AACGAACGCUGGCGGCAGGCUUAACACAUGCAAGUCGAACGCCCCGCCAGGGGAGUGGCCGACGGGUGAGUAACACGUGGGAACAUGCCCAAAGGUACGUAAUAUUCUCGGGAAACUGAGAGCAAUACCGUAUGUGCCCGAAAGGGGAAAGAUUUAUCGCCUUUGGAUUGGCCCGCGUCGGAUUAGCUAGUUGGUGGGGUAAAAGCCUACCAAGGCGACGAUCCGUAGCUGGUCUGAGAGGACGACCAGCCACACUGGGACUGAGACACGGCCCAGACUCCUACGGGAGGCAGCAGUGGGGAAUCUUGGACAAUGGGCGCAAGCCUGAUCCAGCCAUGCCGCGUGGAUGAUGAAGGCCCUAGGGUUGUAAAAUCCUUUCGUUGGGGACGAUAAUGACGGUACCCAAAGAAGAAGCGCCGGCUAACUUCGUG
RNAcentral lists this ribosomal RNA (431 nucleotides) under uncultured bacterium. RNAcentral describes it as "partial 16S ribosomal RNA". It matches the Rfam family "Bacterial small subunit ribosomal RNA", at positions 29 to 507 of the family's 1533-position model. The record is from RNAcentral.